Molecule: ribosomal RNA, 523 nt
Filed under: Phytopythium vexans
Lineage: Eukaryota; Oomycota; Peronosporomycetes; Pythiales; Pythiaceae
Description: eukaryotic LSU rRNA
Rfam family: 5.8S ribosomal RNA (bases 219-368)
Source: RNAcentral
ACCCUUCCGUGAACCGUUUUGUUUGCUUUCGAGUGCUUUGUUGGCUCGGAGCAGUUUGGGCUUCGCUGCUGGCGCUUGAUUGUGCUGGCGGCUCGAGGCCAUCAAGCGGCGUUUUGAGUGUGUGUUCGCAUACAAUUAAACGUCCAAACCUUUAAACCCAUUGAUUGAAAACUGAAGUAUACUGGGGGACGAAAGUCCUCGCUUUGAAACUAGAUAACAACUUUCAGCAGUGGAUGUCUAGGCCGCACAUCGAUGAAGAACGCUGCAACUGCGAUACGUAAUGAAUUGCAGGAUUCAGUGAGUCAUCGAACUUUUGAACGCAUAUUGCACUUUCGGGUUACGCCUGGAAGUAUGUCUGUAUCAUGUCCGACACUAAACUUGCGUCUCUUCCGUCGUGUAGUCGUCGGUUGUUUGAUUGCAGAUGUGAGGUUGUCUCGCGAUCCGUUGCUUGUGACAGGGUUGCGAGUCCCUUUAAAGUCGGACGCGUGUUUUUCCGUUUUGUGCUUGAUGGGGUGCGGCUGCG